UACGUAGGCGGAAAAUUAAGUCAGUAGUGAAAUCCUGCAGCUUAACUGUAGAACUGUUAUUAAUACUGGUUUUCUUGAAUAUAGUUGAGGUAGGCGGAAUGUGUAAUGUAGCGGUGAAAUGCUUAGAUAUUACACAGAACACCGAUUGCGAAGGCAGCUUACUAAGCUAUGAUUGACGCUGAGGUACGAAAGCGUGGGGAGCGAACAGGAUUAGAUACCCUGGUAGUC
Molecule: ribosomal RNA, 228 nt
Filed under: uncultured bacterium
Lineage: Bacteria
Description: partial 16S ribosomal RNA
Rfam family: Bacterial small subunit ribosomal RNA
Source: RNAcentral